This 1739-nucleotide long non-coding RNA is filed under the name Homo sapiens (human). RNAcentral's name for it is "non-protein coding lnc-CNTNAP3-24:7". Lineage: Eukaryota; Metazoa; Chordata; Mammalia; Primates; Hominidae. The record is from RNAcentral.
AUCUCCGCGCACAGUGGUGGCCACCGCGACUGGUGCUGAAGUGUCGGCGUGUGCCGGGCGCUCCGCUGGGACCCGGGUUGCUCGCCCUGAGUCUCAGCUUUCUCAUCUGUACGGUUGGGACAAGUACAGUAACCCUCGCCCGUCAAGACGGGCCAGGGCUGUGGCGAGGGUCCACGCCUUAGAGCAGGCACCUAUCUUGUGCAGGGCCCUGAGAUGGGGUCUGACUCAGUUCCUGCGGGGAACUUCACCAGUGACCCAGUCAGUGCCCUUCAGUUAAAGACCACCAGGAGCACACUUCAUUGCUGUUGGAAAGGCUGACGCCAAUCAAAACCAAUUUUUCCCUAAAGGAUGAUCUGUCUUCUCAUCAUUUUGACAGGAUGUAACAAAACAAAGGAGUCUUCAAUGUUGCUGGAGUGCAGUGGCAUGACCAUGGCUCACUACAGUCUUGAACUUUCAUGCUCAAGCUAUCCUCUGACCUUAGCCUCCUGAGUAGCUGGAACUACAGAUAUCAUGGAAAUCAGGACAGUAGCAGUUGGGAUUGUGGCAAUCAAAGGGGUGGAAAGUGAAUUCUAUCUUGCAACGAACGAGGAAGGAAAACUCUAUGCAAAGAAGGAAUGCAAUGAAGAUUGUAACUUCAAAGAUCUAAUUCUGGAAAACCAUUACAACACAUAUGCAGCAGCUAAAUGGACAAACAACGGAGGGGAAAUGUUUGUGGCCUUAAAUCAAAAGGGGAUUCCUGUAAGAGGAAAAAAAACAAAGAAAGAACAAAAAACAGCCCACUUUCUUCCUAUGGCAAUAACUUAAUUGCAUAUGGUAUAUAAAGAACCAGUUCCAGCAGGGAGAUUUCUUUAAGUGGACUGUUUUCUUUCUUCUCAAAAUUUUCUUUCCUUUUAUUUUCUAGUAAUCAAGAAAGGCUGGAAAACUACUGAAAAACUGAUCAAGCUGGACUUGCGCAUUUAUGUUUGUUUUAAGACACUGCAUUAAAGAGACAUUUGAAAAGUAUACACAAAAAUCAGAUUUAGUAACUAAAGGUUGUACAAAAUUGUAAAACUGGUUGUACAAUCAUGAUGUUAGUAAUAGUAAUUUUUUUCUUAAAUUAAUUUACCCUUAAGAGUAUGUUAGAUUUGAUUAUCUGAUAAUGAUUAUUUAAAUAUUCCUAUCUGCUUAUAAAAUGGCUGCUAUAAUAAUAAUAAUGCAGAUGAUGUUAUAUAAGGUAUAUCAGACCUACAGGCUGCUGGCAGGAUUUGUCAGAUAAUCAAGCCACACUAACUAUGGAAAAUGAGCAGCAUUUUAAAUGCUUUCUAGUGAAAAAUUAUAAUCUACUUAAACUCUAAUCAGAAAAAAAGAAUAUUCUCAAAAAAAUCUAUUAUGAAAGUCAAUAAAAUAGAUAAUUUAACAAAAGUACAGGAUUAGAACAUGCUUAUACCUAUUAACAAGAACAAAAUUUCUAAUGCUGCUCAAGUGGAAAGGGUAUUGCUAAAAGGAUGUUUCCAAAAAUCUUGUAUAUAAGAUAGCAACAGUGAUUGAUGAUAAUACUGUACUUCAUCUUACUUGCCACUAAAUAACAUUUUAUAAUUCCUCAAAGUAAAAUUGAGAAAUCUUUAAGUUUUUUUCAAGUAACAUAAUCUAUCUUUGUAUAAUUCAUAUUUGGGAAUAUGGCUUUUAAUAAUGUUCUUCCCACAAAUAAUCACGCUUUUUUCCUAUGGUUACUGCAUUAAACUCUAUAUUAAGUUGUUUUU